CCUACGGGAGGCAGCAGUGAGGAAUAUUGGUCAAUGGGCGAGAGCCUGAACCAGCCAAGUCGCGUGAGGGAGUACUGCCCUAUGGGUUGUAAACCUCUUUUGUCGGGGAGCAAAAGCCGGACGUGUCCGGCUGUGAGAGUACCCGAAGACAAAGCAUCGGCUAACUCCGGUCCAGCAGCCGCGGUAAUACGGAGGAUGCGAGUGUUUUCCGGAUUUAUUGGGUUAAAAGGGUGCGCAGGCGGAUUGUUAAGGCAGCGGUAAAAUCGUGGGGCUCAACCCCAUCCUGCCGUUGAAACUGGGGAUCUAGAGUGUGCGAGAGGUAUGCGGAAUGCGUGGUGUAGCGGUGAAAUGCAUAGAUAUCACGCAGAACCCCGAUUGCGAAGGCAGCAUACCGGUGCACAACUGACGCUCAGGCACGAAAGCGUGGGUAUCGAACAGGAUUAGAUACCCGGGUAGUC
Molecule: ribosomal RNA, 458 nt
Filed under: uncultured bacterium
Lineage: Bacteria
Description: partial 16S ribosomal RNA
Rfam family: Bacterial small subunit ribosomal RNA
Source: RNAcentral